Molecule: long non-coding RNA, 1266 nt
Filed under: Hordeum vulgare
Lineage: Eukaryota; Viridiplantae; Streptophyta; Magnoliopsida; Poales; Poaceae
Description: long non-coding RNA (HVUL_LNC008219)
Source: RNAcentral
GAUUAGGUGGACCAGGGUCGACGCGAUGCGCUCGAGCGCCGCCACGGGUGCAGUGAGCGGGGAGAGGUACGGCCGCGGAGGCGGGUGGGUUGAGAUCGGCAGCGGUGGCGGUUGAGGUUGGCUGCGGCGGCGAGUGGUGUGGCGGCGGCCUGGGCACAGGCCAGGGUGGCCCAGGGUCGACGGGAGGAGGCGAUGCGUACGGGUAUAAUUUUUGCAGCGAAUCAUUUUUUUUUGCGUUGCAGAUAAAUGAUGAAGCGCGGGUUGAAUAACAAAAAUUACAGGGUUUUUUUCUUCUAAAAAUGCCGUGGUGGGUUUUCCGACGGAAGCAAUAACCGCUUUAUUAUUAGGUAUAGAUAUAGAGGUAUAGAUUACAGUUUAACUUGGGUUGGGACAGCCUAUGACCGUAUUACCCCUUUAAUGAUAGUAAGAUAUUUAAAAUAAAAAAUAAGGAGGCAUAAAAGCAAUUAGACAACCAGUGAGAUGGUAAUUUGAUCCCAUCUUAUUAUGUUAGUUUUUAUUACAUGUCAUUUUAUUAUUAUUUAUAUUGCUUAUCGUAUCGUCGUAUUACUGUUUUUAAAAAUUACCAUAUUAUGUAUUAUCGUAUCGUAUUGCAAUAUUAGUGUCGCAGUAUCCAUGCUUCGUAGUCGAUUUCCCGGCCAGCAGCAGCAAGCAGCAGGCGACAGACAGACACAGAGCUCAAAGGGACACAAAGAAACAGAUCUCUCGGUCACGCAAGCGAAAACACCUUUUGUGAGACGCCACGCCGUUGUCUGUCUACCUCUCAUACGACACAGUGAGUAGGCUGGUCCGACUGACAGGUUAAAAUUUGACGGAAAGUUUGGAUCCACACUUGGCUUUUAAAACGUUUUUCAAAGGCCCUGUUUGGAUACUCUAACUCGGUUAGAGGUUAGAGUUAGAUUCUAACCCUGAACUAACCCUAAACUAACUCUAACCAAAGAGGUGUUUGGAUGGAAGGGUUAGAUUGUCAAUAAAUGAACCUUUUCCAAUCAUUUGGCUCCUUUAUCAAGGAUUUGGUGUGGUGGAGGUAGAGAGAAAAGUAACUUUUUGUGGGACCAACCCAACUCUAACCAAAAUAAACACCUCUUGGGUGGGUUAAUUUUUAUGGAUGGCAUAGAUGCAUCUAACCAACUCUAACCCUCCCUGUUUGGAUGUUUUGGGGUUAGAUUGGUCCAAUCUAACCAACUCUAACUCUAACUCAUGAAUCCAAACAAUGCCAAACGAAUACACGAAUAGGUAGUGUUGUAC